Molecule: ribosomal RNA, 253 nt
Filed under: uncultured bacterium
Lineage: Bacteria
Description: partial 16S ribosomal RNA
Rfam family: Bacterial small subunit ribosomal RNA
Source: RNAcentral
UACGGGGGGGGCAAGCGUUGUUCGGAAUUACUGGGCGUAAAGAGUGCGUAGGCGGUUUUCUAAGUUUGGUGUGAAAUCUCCCGGCUCAACUGGGAGGGUGCGCCGAAGACUGGAAGGCUUGAGUAUGGGAGAGGUAAGCGGAAUUCCUGGUGUAGCGGUGAAAUGCGUAGAUAUCAGGAGGAACACCUGCGGUGUAGACGGCUUACUGGACCAUAACUGACGCUGAGGCACGAAAGCGUGGGUAGCAAACAGG